RNAcentral lists this ribosomal RNA (180 nucleotides) under uncultured Alphaproteobacteria bacterium. RNAcentral describes it as "partial 16S ribosomal RNA". Lineage: Bacteria; Pseudomonadati; Pseudomonadota; Alphaproteobacteria. The record is from RNAcentral.
CGGAGCACCCAGGAAGACAGCCGUGGUGAUACAGCGACCCCGCAGCCGUGAUGAACGCCUUCGGGUCGUACACCUCUGUCUUCGGGGAGGAAGGCGUGGUGGUUUAUGACCUCGGCGACUGAUAUUUACCUGACAACAACCCCCGGGUUACUCCGUGCCCGCAGCCGCGGUAAUAACGGA